GGGUCAGUAGGUUGGUCGUGCCACCGGUACGUACUGGUCUCACUGAUUCCUCCUUCUUGAAGAACCGUAAUGCCAUUAAUUUGGUGUUGCGGGGAAACAGGACUGUUACUUUGAAAAAAUUAGAGUGUUUAAAGCAAGCUAACGCUUGAAUACAUUAGCAUGGAAUAAUGAGAUAGGACGAUCGAUCCUAUUUUGUUGGUUUCUAGGAUUGACGUAGUGAUUAUAGGGAUAGUUGGG
RNAcentral lists this ribosomal RNA (237 nucleotides) under Glomeromycotina sp. RNAcentral's name for it is "partial small subunit ribosomal RNA". The stretch from base 40 to 237 matches the Rfam family "Eukaryotic small subunit ribosomal RNA", at positions 686 to 886 of the family's 1831-position model. The record is from RNAcentral. Lineage: Eukaryota; Fungi; Glomeromycota.